AAUAGUUUGUUGCUUUUAUAAGCACUUUUCUCAACCUCUCUUUUCUCCGCUGGCAUGAGAAUGGGAGGGCCUGACGAGUCUUAUGGUAGCAAGCGUCCAGGGGAACCCGCAAUCCUAGUUUUUGGGCUCCCAUCAAGAGUUGCCAAGAAAGCUGUUGUGAGCUACUUGGAAGUCAGGACAGCUGGGCCUCCAGCCUGCAGUGACAAUGAGGCUCAGACUGUGAAUCAGGGAAGAGGGGAGUGUCUCGGGAAAGGAUGGCUAGAGCAGACUCUCCCCCACCCCCAAAGGGACUCAGGGAUGAAACCAGGAGUCUGGCGCUCUUUGUAUCCCGCUGGAAGUCUACUCGAGUGGGAAACGAUUGUCUCCUGCGGAGAGAUGGGGAAUAUUAAAAAGAAGCCUUUGGCUCUUUUAGCUAUAUAGAAACAGUCCUCGUCCUUUCUAAAUUUUCUCUUCAGCUGAAAUUAGCAAAACAAACUCCACUUACACCUUCAAUAUUAGAUUCUUAAUUUUGCAAAAUUCCUAACUAUAACCUGGGCCGAAUAUAGUUAGAAGGAGUAGGUAUUCUCUAAAGUGAGGGCUUCUCCCAGACCCUCCCCACCCCACUCACCAUCAGCAAUUCUGUCCCCACCCCCACCUUGGUUGAUAUUCACUACACUGUCCUCUCUGUAGAAUGCUUUCUUUCACUUUUUACUGAGUCUCCCAGACUAGUAAAUUCUCAACUUCUGUGCUCAAAUACAUUAAGUGUUCAAAGAAAUAGUUCUUUAACAUUGUUUGGGAUCCAGUGGCUAAUGGGAGAGUGUGGAGUGUGAAUGGGGGUGGUGGCAGAACAUGGGUAAUCAGGGAGAGGAAAGAGGAACAGGUCAUAAAAAUAGGCAGACCUACUUCAAUGAGGACAGUGCAUCCCGCUGUCAUUUCUUAAUCUGAACUUCUGCAAACUCUUUGAAAAAAAAUGCGCCUGCCUUCCACGUUUCCAACCUCUAAAUUAGCGAAACCAGAUUGUCCUAAUAAGACCUUUUGUUGGAAACACAUGUAGUCAUAAAAAGGUAGACGGAAAGUCAAUUAGACACGCGCGCACACACGCACACAUUCACAAGCCGGUGCUAAGUGUGCACCCGGCGCAGCUGGCUCCCGGGCCGCGGCGGGAUGCAAAUACAAAACAGCGACGCGGGAAAUCGAUUUGUCACAAAGGGAGAGGUGUAAACGCAGCGCAAAGGAAUUGCUUGCCCAAUCUACCAGCCACACUCUCUCGGGACCUUGCCCCGCCAACUUCUCUUCGCCAGAGAAACGCCCAGGAGAGCGGGAACAUUUUCUAGGGCGCUCCCAAGUUGGAAUUCUCAUCACAGUAAUAUCAGCUUCUAGAGUCUCAGCUUUUGCAACAACCCUGGCGCCAGAAAUUUUCUUAUGCAGCACCAUCCUGGGACUCUGGGGCCCACUGGCAGUCUAAAUUUGAGCUUCAAUUAUCUCGUUGAAGAGGGGAGCCAAUGAAAUAUAAAGCUUUAAGGGUAGCUUGGAAACUUUUCUCUUUAGAGGAGGUGAAAUACAGGAUUAAGUGCCUCACUGAGUCCCCAGAGCUGAAUGUCAAGGCCAGCCAAGAGGUGGUGAUUUCGGUUUAUUUUACAUGCAGAAGUAGGGGCCCGGGUUACCUCCUUCUCUUAGAAUUUUGGGGAAAUUGAUAGUCCAGUGACUCCUACCCACUUUUGGGUGAAGGACGAUUUGGAAUUUGAAGUGUGGGGAGACAGGCCUGUGAAGUCCGAAGGACUCACUGGGUCUCCAGAUCCCCCAACUCUGGAAUGCAGUGAAUACCCACCCCCAUGUUUCAGAGCAUCUCUCCCAUGUGUUAGACGUCGUGCAGUCCUGCAUUUUGGCUGAGACACCUAACCCCGGUGCACUCAGGUCAGAGCGCCAGGGCUUCAGGCAGACAGCAAUGGGUCACACGGGUCCUUAUAGUUCCUUCCUCUUCCCAGGAGUGUCAUUUUAGAUUUUACAACACGAGCGAAUAAAUCAUCUCCAAACCAACAAGAUGUCACCUUCAGGCUCCCCACUGC
Molecule: long non-coding RNA, 2045 nt
Organism: Homo sapiens (human)
Lineage: Eukaryota; Metazoa; Chordata; Mammalia; Primates; Hominidae
Source: Ensembl